This 368-nucleotide ribosomal RNA is filed under the name Fitzingeria platyura platyura. RNAcentral's name for it is "partial 12S ribosomal RNA". The record is from RNAcentral. Lineage: Eukaryota; Metazoa; Annelida; Clitellata; Crassiclitellata; Lumbricidae.
AGUUCGAAAAUUUACGAACUAUAGUUUAAACCUCAAAGACUUUGGCGGUGUCUUAUCAAACCAGGGGAAUCUGUCUCAUAACUCGAUAAUCCACGUAUUCUCCACCCUCCUUAGAUUAAUCAGCCUGUGUACUGCCGUCGUAAACACACCUCUAAAAGAAUAAGUAUGUAAUUAUGAUAACCUCAUAUACGUCAGGUCAAAGUCGCAGCUCAUGGGAGGGAGAAUGAUGGAUUACAACCUCUACAAGGACACGAAUUAUAAUGUUAAAAACUAUACGAAGGUGGACUUGGUUGUAAUUUAAAUUCUAAAUUUAAACGAAACUGAAUCUAAGACAUGCACACAUCGCCCGUCACUCUAACCUAAAGGCU